ACCCUAAAUAAACUCUAAAACCAUAACCGUAGACAUACUCUAACCAAACCCUUAACUAAAACCAAAUACAAAUUAAUCCAACGCCUCAAACACACACCUAUUUAUUGAUUAUUUUUGUACAUUGGUCACUAUCUAAGUACGUCCGUCCACUAUGUUUGAUAGAUGUUUAAACACUAAUUUAGAGGGUUCAAAGACAAAGUUCUUGUGGUGUUAUCGAUAAAUUAAAAUGAUUUUUUUCUGCUCUGCCUUAGCUAGAAUACGCGUUCUGGGAGUAUGAAACGACGUAGUUUUGGUUAUUUUUUUGACCUAAUCUCUUUUCUUCCUCAUUCUUCCUCGACAGAGAGAUUGCAGCGGCGAAAAUUUGGAGAUCGACUCCCUCAUGUCUUCAGUAAAUUCUUCAUCCACUACAAGAGAUCGCCUCGCGAAACAACGGGGAAUUCCCACAAGAUGCAAUUGCGGUGAGGCAGUGAAUCGUUUCACUUCAAAAACAAUUCAAAAUCCGGGAAGAUUAUUUCAUUGUUGUCCUUUGGGAUCUCAAAAGGACAAAACCCACUUGUUCAAAUGGACUGACAAGUCAGUUGUUGAGGAGAUUGAAGACUUCCAAGACCUGUUUGACGUGUUACUCGUUGACAAUUCCGAGUUUCAGAAAUCAGUGAGAGCUGGUGAGGCCAUGAUGACACGCCAUGAGAGUAGAAUUCAAGAGAUGGAAGAUGCAAUGUGCCAUUGCGAAGAGAAGACCUUGGAAUGCAUUAGGGAACUUAGGGGCAUAAAAGCUUUGUUUGUGUGUUGUUUGGUGAUGGUCUUCUUGUACCAUAUCUAUGCAUGAUGUUCAACUACUUUUUAUGUGCUUCCUCAACUUGUUGUUUCUUAUUUUCAAAGAAGUUAAGACCAUGUUUCUUGUUAUUUCGAGGUGAUCAUCAUCUACUGAAACGAAUUAUUUUGCAAUUACUUUGAUUGUUACUAGAAUAAAUCGAUUUGUCUCUAUAGUUUAGCAAAUACCAAAUUGUCAAAUAGGUUCUUAAACAGAAGAUCAAAUUGUUUCAAAAGCAAUAAAGAAAAAAACAGAGACAGAUGCAGACACAUAACAAACUAGAUGGGUAAAUCGCAUGUUCCUCUCUUGUGUCCUUCAGUUCCACAACGGCUACACUUAUGCUUUUUAUUCUUCUUUGAUCCUUGAGAAGAUGCGAUCUUGUCUUCUACUGAUUCAUACCUUCUCUUUACUGGUCGACCAGCACUCUUUCUUGUCUUUGGUGGUAAAACCUUUGCAAGUUUAACCUCAGCAGGGACAUUCCAUUCUGACUCUACAACUGCUAUUGGAUUAAUGGAAUCUGCAUAGGCGGUUCUCCACGCUGCAGUGCUGUAUAAGGCGUCAGUGAAUCUGUGCACUUCCAUACCUGUCAAUCUCAAAAAAAACUUGAUCAAUAUGAAGUCUAUAUGAUGAAAAUCCCGAAAAUAAAUAAUUCUCAAGUAUUCAUGUGUUUAUACUUCCAUACCUCGUGAAUAAAUUGCAGGAAUGGCGUGUCGGCAAGGAAUUUUUCCUAUAUCAUACUUACCACAUGUGCAUGUUCUUCUUUCCAAAUCAACAUGACAAUCAUAUAUGUCUCCUUUUACAACCGAUCUGAAGUUGUCAACCUUGUAAACCUGGAAUCCUUUUGCCUUCACAAUUCUCCUAUCAAUCUUUCUCUCCACCUUAGCGGUUAAAGGAUCUAGAUGCUUUGAGCUUAACAAGCGACGCUCAUAGAACCAUCGAGUCAACAGUUCUCUUAUACUAUCAAGCAAAGGAAUAACCGGAUAUUCUCUAGGUAUUCUAAGAACUGAAUUUAUAGACUCUGCAGGGUUCGUGGUCCUAAUGUCAUACCUGGAACCAGGGAAGAGAGAACGAGCCCAUUUGCGCACAUCAGCCUCCCGUAGAUAUCUUCCAAGCUCAGGACUCAUAUCAAAAAUUUCGGUGAUACGUUCUUGAAAUUCAGUGUAUCUAUAUGCCCGUGAAGCCUUUUCUACCAACGCAGUCAAUCCUUUUGUCUUGAAAAAUGAGACCACAUUGGUCAAUAAGUGAUGAAUGCAAAUUCCAUGUGCUGAUCGAGGGUAGACAGUCCCAAUAGCUUUAGAAAUAGACGCAUUUCUAUCUGAGACAAAAGCUAGGUCUUGACAAUCAGCAAUAACCACUUUCAACUGUCUGAAGAACCACCCCCGAAUCGUCAUUCUCUGAAUCAACAACCCCAAAUGCAAUCGGAUACAAAUUAGAGUUACCAUCUACAGCAGUAGCAACAAGAAGUGUCCCUUUGUAUUUAUUUUUCAGAAAAGUUCCGUCAACAACAAUCACCCUUCGCAUUGCAUUGUAGAAUCCUCUAACUGAUUGCCCAAAUGACAUAAAUAGAUACAUGAAUCUUCCCUUCUCAUUAGUUUCAUAGUGAGUAUGCGUACCAGGAUUUGCUUCUUUAAUCAUAUGCAGAUAUGCUGGUAUUUUAGAGUAACUGCGAUCUGGUAUACCUCUAGCAGCUGCAAUAGCAAACUCACGAGCUUCCCAAGCGUGCCAAUAAGUAAUCUCACAACUAUGCUCCAUUCUCAUAAAUUGAAUGAUGUCAUUCGGUUUUGGGCCAUCGUUUGCAUCAUCAAAUCGAUGUUGUAUCAGAGUCCCAAUUGUUCUUGCUGAUGCUGUUUUUCCGAAUUUCCUUUUCUUUGAAGGAGCACAUGAAUGUCUUCCAUCACAUUGGUUGAUCAUGAAAUAUGUAGACCCAUCUAUUCCUUCUGCACGCACAGUCCAGUUGCACAAUGCAUCUUUACAUCGAAUAUACCACCAUUUUCUCGUGGAUUUGAUAACAGUGUAAUCGAAAUUAUUCUUCAUCGCUAAAAUUUCCAUUG
Brassica rapa (field mustard) is the source of this 2862-nucleotide long non-coding RNA. RefSeq lists it as uncharacterized. Lineage: Eukaryota; Viridiplantae; Streptophyta; Magnoliopsida; Brassicales; Brassicaceae. The record is from RefSeq and is a predicted model, not a curated record.